This 433-nucleotide ribosomal RNA is filed under the name uncultured bacterium. RNAcentral describes it as "partial 16S ribosomal RNA". It matches the Rfam family "Bacterial small subunit ribosomal RNA", at positions 29 to 507 of the family's 1533-position model. The record is from RNAcentral.
AACGAACGCUGGCGGCAGGCCUAACACAUGCAAGUCGAGCGCGCCCUUCGGGGUGAGCGGCGGACGGGUGAGUAACGCGUGGGAACGUGCCCUUCUCUGCGGAAUAGCCUCGGGAAACUGAGAGUAAUACCGCAUACGCCCUUUGGGGGAAAGAUUUAUCGGAGAAGGAUCGGCCCGCGUUGGAUUAGGUAGUUGGUGGGGUAAUGGCCCACCAAGCCGACGAUCCAUAGCUGGUUUGAGAGGAUGAUCAGCCACACUGGGACUGAGACACGGCCCAGACUCCUACGGGAGGCAGCAGUGGGGAAUCUUAGACAAUGGGGGCCACCCUGAUCUAGCCAUGCCGCGUGAGUGAUGAAGGCCUUAGGGUUGUAAAGCUCUUUCAGCUGGGAAGAUAAUGACGGUACCAGCAGAAGAAGCCCCGGCUAACUCCGUG